Molecule: long non-coding RNA, 430 nt
Filed under: Amborella trichopoda
Lineage: Eukaryota; Viridiplantae; Streptophyta; Magnoliopsida; Amborellales; Amborellaceae
Description: long non-coding RNA (ATRI_LNC003996)
Source: RNAcentral
GAUGGGGCAAGGGCCUCACACUCCCUUAUGCAUUGAUUAGCUUAGCUGGGUGGAUUACUUAAUACGUGCUACCAGCAAGAAGCCUCAUGCUUGAGACCCGCCUCUCUGCCUCGCUUACUAAGCAGCUCCCCUCUGUCGUCACUUCCCUGAGACCAAGGCUUAGCUAGCAAUAGACAACGCUAGCAAUAGCUAUUAGCUAGCCGCGAUUGCAAUCCAAGCUAUUGACAACUCUAACAAGAGCAAUAGCAAGCACUAGCUUGAACUAGCAGUGGCCAAGACUUAGCUAGUCUCGCUUUAGACCUUACAGAGUCACUUACCAGCACUAGUUAGUACCUUAGCUAGCAAGGAAGGCAAGCAAGUUUCUUAUAGCUUGGUGGGAGUAAGCGCUUACUCUUAGUUAGGCGUUUCAUGCAUGCCGGUCUUACACAGA